UAAAAAUUUAAUUUAAAAUAUUAAAUUAGUAUUAGUUAAGUUCUUGAAAUUUAAAAAAUUUGGCGGUAUUUUAGUCUAUUCAGAGGAACCUGUUUUGUAAUUGAUAUUCCACGUUGUAUCUUACUUAAAUUUGUUUAGUAUAUAUAUCGUCGUUUAUAAAAUAUUUUUUAAAAAUAAUAAUUUUUUUGAUUUUAAAUUAGAAAGAAUAUCAGAUCAAGAUGUAGCUUAUAUUUAAGUUUAUAAUGGGUUACAAUUAUUUUAUUAAUGGAGAUAAAUUUGUAAUUUAUUUAUUGAAAUUGGAUUUGAUAGUAAAUUUAUAUAGAUUAAUAGUUUGAUAUUAGCUCUAAAAUAUG
Molecule: ribosomal RNA, 353 nt
Filed under: Dasydorylas sp. Jeff Skevington 13091
Lineage: Eukaryota; Metazoa; Arthropoda; Insecta; Diptera; Pipunculidae
Description: partial 12S ribosomal RNA
Source: RNAcentral